CCUUCCCUUCCCUUCCCUUCCCUUCCCUUCCCCACAUUUGCUCCCUUUGGACUUCCCCCUGUCCUGUGAAUGGUGCUGAGGCUCCUGAAUCACAAAUCGAGAAGUGCAGUGACCUGAUGAAAUAAAUUACUGUUAGAGAAAAAACUCUAUUGUAGAGCUUCUCCCCUUCAAAAUCCACAGUCUGGAAGGGAGAUAUCCCCUCUUCCAUUUCCCAAAUGUUUGGAGGGUCAUACAGGAACUGAAAAGAGUGGGCAAUUUUUGAUUUUCUUAAUUGCCACAAGACAUUUAAAGCUUUAAGCUGUACAACCACUAUCCCCAACUCUUACUACAUUCAAUCACACUUGAAUGCACUGUAGCAGAAUUUCAUUUAGAUUUUGUAAGGUUUGUCCUUUUGAAAUCAGCAUAAAUUAUAAUGUUCCAGUCAAUAGUUUGUCCAACAGACAGCAAGUCACUUGAUUUUGCUUUAGCAUGUCUCAAUCUGUUAAACAAUAGGGCUUUUCUUUGCUGAAGUGGGACUGGUGUGCAUGCAGUAAGAAUAAGCUCAUUCUAACAGCUUUUCUUUGCUUUUCUGUUUUAGAGAGAGAGAAUUUGUAAAUACACUGUAUUAAAUCAUGUUUGGUAUCAAACUGUGAACCAUGCUGAUAAAAGAAGAAUUGACCCAAACUACUCAACCUCAAUCUAAUGAGAUCAAAAGACAUCAGACCAGAAGCUCUAAGGAGCUGAAGAAGAAACUGUCUUUGGCACAAAGCUCCUUCUUAAACCAGCAUCAAGAUAUCCCAGCUAUUCCAGAUUAAAAUAAGGCUAAUUCCUCUAUUUUUAGGACUAUUUCCCAUGCCUUACCAUUUUGGGGUUCACAUACAGUAUUAUUGCAAUCAGAAAAAUUAAUUUGCUAACAUAAGCUAGAGGUUUAUGUUCUGAUUCUUAGUCCUUGUCAAUUCAGAUCAGUUAGUUAUUUUCUGAGAACUGUUUUGGUUGAAUAUCACAAACAAAUUAAUCAAACAUUCAUCAUCAAUAUUGAGAAGAACUAAGCCUGGGUUCUACAUGGAUUUUUUUAAAAGCUCUUGAAAUUUUGGACCAGCUAAAGGGAAUCAAAGUGCAGGCAUUGACCUCACUAAGACCAGAUUUUUAUUUUAGAUGUUUUAUUGGGCCACUGAAUUAUUUUUCUUUCUAAUUUCUAAACGAAAAUCUUAGGAUUUUUAAAAAACUUUAAAAAUGCUUACACAGUGAUGUACAUCAGUAAUGUACGCAGUAAGCUCAAAACUAAUGACCAUCUGCUCUCUCAGGAU
RNAcentral lists this long non-coding RNA (1286 nucleotides) under Parus major (Great Tit). Its description in RNAcentral is "lncRNA (ENSPMJG00000012456.1)". Lineage: Eukaryota; Metazoa; Chordata; Aves; Passeriformes; Paridae. The record is from RNAcentral.